GUGCUUGCUAUCGCUGACGAGUGGCGGACGGGUGAGUAAUGCUUGGGAACAUGCCUUUGUGAGGGGGAUAACUAUUGGAAACGAUGGCUAAUACCGCAUAAUGUUUACGGACCAAAGUGGCCCCGCCACCAAAUUUACUUUGAAAGCGAAACGGUUUUUGAAGUGUUUGAGGUAAAUUUGGUGGCGGGGUCACGCACAAAGAGUGGCCCAAGUGAGAUUAGCUAGUUGGUGAGGUAAAGGCUCACCAAGGCGACGAUCUCUAGCUGUUCUGAGAGGAAGAUCAGCCACACUGGGACUGAGACACGGCCCAGACUCCUACGGGAGGCAGCAGUGGGGAAUAUUGCACAAUGGGGGCAACCCUGAUGCAGCCAUGCCGCGUGUGUGAAGAAGGCCUUCGGGUUGUAAAGCACUUUCAGUUGUGAGGAAAGGGUAGCGGUUAAUACCCGUUAUCUGUGACGUUAACAACAGAAGAAGCACCGGCUAACUCCGUGCCAGCAGCCGCGGUAAUACGGAGGGUGCGAGCGUUAAUCGGAAUUACUGGGCGUAAAGCGCACGCAGGCGGUUAUAUAAGCUAGAUGUGAAAGCCCCGGGCUCAACCUGGGAUGGUCAUUUAGAACUGUGUAACUAGAGUCUUGGAGAGGGGAGUGGAAUUCCAGGUGUAGCGGUGAAAUGCGUAGAGAUCUGGAGGAACAUCAGUGGCGAAGGCGACUCCCUGGCCAAAGACUGACGCUCAUGUGCGAAAGUGUGGGUAGCGAACAGGAUUAGAUACCCUGGUAGUCCACACCGUAAACGCUGUCUACUAGCUGUGUGUGUAUUUUAUACGUGCGUAGCGAAGCUAACGCGCUAAGUAGACCGCCU
Molecule: ribosomal RNA, 858 nt
Filed under: uncultured bacterium
Lineage: Bacteria
Description: bacterial SSU rRNA
Rfam family: Bacterial small subunit ribosomal RNA
Source: RNAcentral